ACUGCAAAUGGAAAACGUGUUAACUGCAAAUUGAAUGUCGCCUAACAGGUGUCCGGUGUGAGGGAGGAGCAUGUUGUCUUCCUCUUUUGUCCAAAAUCUCAAAUCCCUGCUGGGCACGGAAGAGAACAAGCCCAUAAAACUACUUCGGACUAUCAGCCAGCGCACGACGACGACCGCACGAUCUGGUUAAGGCCGUCGCCGUCACGUGGGAGGUUGCAAAGACAAAAGAAAGACCAAAUUACACGAAAAGGGGCCAACCUCCAUCCCCAUGGCAAACCUUCAUCCUUUCUACCCUGAGCUCAAUGCUGAAAAACAAAAAGGUUGCCACGCAAAACCUCCACCGGCCUCGGGAUGCCACCCGCAGCGUCAAAUCAGUCAUGAAACGGCCAAUCAAUCUCGACGCUCUUGUGGAUGUGCCGAGCCUCACGCUUUGAUGCAAUGACGUUUUUUUUGGUGGGCCACUUGCAUACUAGAAAACUACGGUUCUUUCUCUGACUUUUCAAAUUCCUCCUCCAAUGGCAAUUUCACAUAUCAUUACCGCUUCAUUAAAAAAACUUAACAGCCCAAAUAAAACUUAAGGUGCCGAGCAGUUACAGCACAGUAGAUCAACAGAAUUGCUUUUUUUUUCUUUUUCUUUCCCCCCUUGUCCUGAACCCGAACAUUUUGGUUGCUGGACUAAAAGUUGAAAACGACGCCAAAACAAGACGAUAACAAUUAUAUAACGUGCGCAGUAUUUCCAUAAGUUGAAAAACAUACUUGACGUUGAAAUCGGUCAGUGGCAGUAAGCGGUUGCAUUUCGGUCGACGAAUAUAAACGUCCACGGCGGCGCUCGUUUGACUCAUCACCACCUGACGGACGGAGGGAGGGAGGGAGGCGCUGUUGCUCGACUCGACAAUCGCUGUUCCACCAAAACUAGGGGGUUCAA
Long non-coding RNA from Syngnathus typhle (broad-nosed pipefish), 925 nucleotides. RefSeq lists it as uncharacterized. The transcript is spliced from 2 exons. Lineage: Eukaryota; Metazoa; Chordata; Actinopteri; Syngnathiformes; Syngnathidae. The record is from RefSeq and is a predicted model, not a curated record.